UACGAGAGGUGCAAGCGUUGUUCGGAGUGACUGGGCGUAAAGCGCACGUAGGCGGGUUCAUAAGUCGAUUGUGAAAUCCCCGGGCUCAACCUGGGAGUGGCAGUCGAAACUGUGGAUCUUGAAUGUCCGAGAGGUUAGUGGAAUUCCUGGUGUAGGAGUGAAAUCCGUAGAUAUCAGGAGGAACACCGGAGGCGAAGGCGGCUAACUGGUGGAACAUUGACGCUGAGGUGCGAAAGCGUGGGUAGCAAACAGG
RNAcentral lists this ribosomal RNA (253 nucleotides) under uncultured bacterium. Its description in RNAcentral is "partial 16S ribosomal RNA". It matches the Rfam family "Bacterial small subunit ribosomal RNA", at positions 524 to 776 of the family's 1533-position model. The record is from RNAcentral.